GCCGUUAGUCGAGCUUCAAGUCAUCGAAAUCAGAAGUGGAGGAUAAGGCGGACGGAUCGAGAGAAGGAGAUGGUCAAAGGGGAGAGAGACAGUCGCAGCAGUACGAUCGAUACGAUAGAGGAAGGACAGGGCUUGAUUGAAGACGAUUGAGACGGCGGCGGCAAUCGAAGAUGAAGGAGAAGAGAGGAUAAUUGGGCAGGAAUGGAUUGCACUGGCCAAUAGAGGAGAAGUAUAGCAUGGUGGGGGGCUUGAUUGUGGGUUGG
RNAcentral lists this long non-coding RNA (263 nucleotides) under Elaeis guineensis (African oil palm). RNAcentral's name for it is "long non-coding RNA (EGUI_LNC026565)". The record is from RNAcentral. Lineage: Eukaryota; Viridiplantae; Streptophyta; Magnoliopsida; Arecales; Arecaceae.